UCAGGAUGAACGCUGGCGGCGUGCCUAACACAUGCAAGUCGAGCGUGAACCCUUAGAAUGAAACUCGGUCGAAUGAAGAGGGGGAAAGCGGCGGACGGGUGAGUAACGCGUAGGCAACCUGCCCCGUACAGAGGGAUAGCCUCGGGAAACCGGGAUUAAAACCUCAUAAUACCAUGGUAUCACAUGAUGCAAUGGUCAAAGAUUUAUCGGUAUGGGAUGGGCCUGCGUCUGAUUAGCUGGUUGGUGGGGUAACGGCCUACCAAGGCAACGAUCAGUAGCCGACCUGAGAGGGUAAUCGGCCACAUUGGAACUGAGACACGGUCCAAACUCCUACGGGAGGCAGCAGUGGGGAAUAUUGCACAAUGGGCGAAAGCCUGAUGCAGCAACGCCGCGUGAGCGAAGAAGGCCUUUGGGUCGUAAAGCUCUGUCGGGAAGGAAGAUAAUGACGGUACUUCCCGAGGAAGCCCCGGCUAACUACGUGCCAGCAGCUGC
This 492-nucleotide ribosomal RNA is filed under the name uncultured bacterium. RNAcentral's name for it is "bacterial SSU rRNA". It matches the Rfam family "Bacterial small subunit ribosomal RNA", at positions 24 to 518 of the family's 1533-position model. The record is from RNAcentral.